Non-coding RNA from Heteronotia binoei (common prickly gecko), 72 nucleotides. Lineage: Eukaryota; Metazoa; Chordata; Lepidosauria; Squamata; Gekkonidae. The record is from the annotation of a RefSeq genome assembly.
GGGGCUGUGGCUCAGUGGAAGAGCCUCUGUUUUGCAUGCAGAAGGCCUCAGGUUCAAUCCCUGACAUCUCCA